AGUGAACGCUGGCGGUAGGCCUACCACAUGCAAGUCGAACGGCAGCACAGUAAGAGCUUGCUCUUACGGGUGGCGAGUGGCGGACGGGUGAGGAAUACAUCGGAAUCUACUUUUUCGUGGGGGAUAACGUAGGGAAACUUACGCUAAUACCGCAUACGACCUACGGGUGAAAGCGGGGGAUCUUCGGACCUUGCGCGAUUGAAUGAGCCGAUGUCGGAUUAGCUAGUUGGCGGGGUAAAGGCCCACCAAGGCGACGAUCCGUAGCUGGUCUGAGAGGAUGAUCAGCCACACUGGAACUGAGACACGGUCCAGACUCCUACGGGAGGCAGCAGUGGGGAAUAUUGGACAAUGGGCGCAAGCCUGAUCCAGCCAUACCGCGUGGGUGAAGAAGGCCUUCGGGUUGUAAAGCCCUUUUGUUGGGAAAGAAAAGCAGCAGGCUAAUACCCCGCUGUUCUGACGGUACCCAAAGAAUAAGCACCGGCUAACUUCGUG
This 492-nucleotide ribosomal RNA is filed under the name uncultured bacterium. Its description in RNAcentral is "partial 16S ribosomal RNA". It matches the Rfam family "Bacterial small subunit ribosomal RNA", at positions 29 to 507 of the family's 1533-position model. The record is from RNAcentral.